GAUGAAGAACGUAGCGAAAUGCGAUACGUAAUGUGAAUUGCAGAAUUCAGUGAAUCAUCGAAUCUUUGAACGCAUAUUGCGCUCUCUGGUAUUCCGGAGAGCAUGCUUGUUUGAGUAUCAGUAAACACCUCAACUUCCAUAUCUUUUUUGAAAUGGGAGUUGGACUUGAGUGAUCCCAACGCUUUUCCUCACCGAAAAGUGGCGGGUUACUUGAAAUGCAGGUGCAGCUGGACUUUUCUCUGAGCUAUAAGCAUAUCUAUUUAGUCUGCCUAAAAAACAGAUUAUUACCUUUGCUGCAGCUAACAUAAAGGAGAUUAGUUCUUGUGCCGACUGAUGCAGGAUUCACAAAGACAGGCUUCGGCCGACUUUGUAAACUCGAUCUCAAAUCAAGUAAGACUACCCGCUGAACUUAAGCAUAUCAAUAAGCGGAGGA
This 433-nucleotide unclassified non-coding RNA is filed under the name soil metagenome. RNAcentral describes it as "partial contains 5.8S ribosomal RNA, internal transcribed spacer 2, and large subunit ribosomal RNA". The stretch from base 1 to 120 matches the Rfam family "5.8S ribosomal RNA", at positions 35 to 154 of the family's 154-position model. The record is from RNAcentral.